RNAcentral lists this long non-coding RNA (533 nucleotides) under Felis catus (domestic cat). RNAcentral describes it as "lncRNA (ENSFCAG00000049015.1)". Lineage: Eukaryota; Metazoa; Chordata; Mammalia; Carnivora; Felidae. The record is from RNAcentral.
CUGGUCUCUGAGGGGGCUGGGGGCCGUGGGCAGGGGGCUUCCAGGCGUCUACCCAAUUCCCAGCCGUCUCUUGCUCUCAUGCGCACGUUGAACCUAAAGCAGACCUCGCAGCAGGCGACUUUAACACCCUUGCUGGAAUCCCGUUUGCUGGAGUGUAGGGAAUAGGCAAGUUGCUUCGAUACCUGACGAAUCCAAUACAGUUCUAGACACAGAGGGAACCGUUAACCGAAGUCUGUAGAUGUAUUUGUGAUAGCCUUCUUGUCCUCGAAGACUGGAUACGGAUUUUCUGCAUGUGCUCCAUAGAGUCAAUGUUUCAGACUUUGUCCUCCGGCAUUCUAGAGGCAUCUCUCCUGGGGCACUCAUCACCAGACUGGGUCACGGAGCAUCCUUCCCUAGCUUCCUGUGAACUUCAUGGACCACCCAGAGGGACUCAUAUAUAGAUAGUUACGGUAAGUAACAACGGACUUUGGUCCAGUAAACAUUUAUUGUUUCGAUCCAAUAAACAUCUAUUAUAAAAUAGACUCUAUAUUAAU